This 205-nucleotide ribosomal RNA is filed under the name uncultured bacterium. Its description in RNAcentral is "partial 16S ribosomal RNA". It matches the Rfam family "Bacterial small subunit ribosomal RNA", at positions 326 to 545 of the family's 1533-position model. The record is from RNAcentral.
ACGCUCGACACCUACGGGCAGCAGUGGGGAAUAUUGCACAAUGGGGGAAACCCUGAUGCAGCGACGCCGCAUGAGCGAAGAAGUAUUUCGGUAUGUAAAGCUCUAUCAGCAGGGAAGAAACUGACGGUACCUGACUAAGAAGCACCGGCUAAAUACGUGCCAGCACGGCCGGUACGGUAAUCUGGAGGCGGGCGUGGACGAAGGC